RNAcentral lists this microRNA precursor (84 nucleotides) under Bombyx mori (domestic silkworm). RNAcentral's name for it is "mir-2807 microRNA precursor family". It matches the Rfam family "mir-2807 microRNA precursor family". Lineage: Eukaryota; Metazoa; Arthropoda; Insecta; Lepidoptera; Bombycidae. The record is from Rfam by way of RNAcentral.
UUAACUCUAAUUUGUAUGGAAUUGGAACGUUUGCCUACGUUUGCCGCUAGGGGCGCUGUUCCAACUCCAUACAAAAUUGAGUUA